CCUACGGGUGGCAGCAGUGGGGAAUAUUGCACAAUGGGGGAAACCCUGAUGCAGCGACGCCGCGUGAGCGAAGAAGUAUUUCGGUAUGUAAAGCUCUAUCAGCAGGGAAGAAAAUGACGGUACCUGACUAAGAAGCACCGGCUAAAUACGUGCCAGCAGCCGCGGUAAUACGUAUGGUGCAAGCGUUAUCCGGAUUUACUGGGUGUAAAGGGAGCGCAGGCGGUACGGCAAGUCUGAUGUGAAAGCCCGGGGCUCAACCCCGGUACUGCAUUGGAAACUGUCGUACUAGAGUGUCGGAGAGGGAUGCGGCAUUCCCAGUGUUCUACUCUCUUUCCCUACUCGACGCACUUCCGCUCUCGGGUUUCUUGGCGGUUUCAUCGAUUCGUUUAAUGAAGGCGUCAGGAUUGUUGUGUGAUAAGUGAUUAGAAAUCAUAAUAGUU
This 440-nucleotide ribosomal RNA is filed under the name Streptococcus agalactiae. RNAcentral describes it as "bacterial SSU rRNA". It matches the Rfam family "Bacterial small subunit ribosomal RNA", at positions 338 to 698 of the family's 1533-position model. Lineage: Bacteria; Bacillati; Bacillota; Bacilli; Lactobacillales; Streptococcaceae. The record is from RNAcentral.